This 253-nucleotide ribosomal RNA is filed under the name uncultured bacterium. RNAcentral describes it as "partial 16S ribosomal RNA". It matches the Rfam family "Bacterial small subunit ribosomal RNA", at positions 524 to 776 of the family's 1533-position model. The record is from RNAcentral.
UACGAAGGGGGCUAGCGUUGCUCGGAUUGACUGGGCGUAAAGGGCGCGUAGGCGGUUCGUACAGUCAGACGUGAAAUCCCUGGGCUCAACCUGGGGGCUGCGUUUGAUACGUGCGGACUUGAGUGCGGAAGAGGGUCGUGGAAUUCCCAGUGUAGAGGUGAAAUUCGUAGAUAUUGGGAAGAACACCGGUGGCGAAGGCGGCGACCUGGUCCGAUACUGACGCUGAGGCGCGAAAGCGUGGGGAGCAAACGGG